AGGGGGUGCAGCAGGCGCGAAAACUUCGCAAUGGGGGCAACCCCGACGAGGGGAUUCCAAGUGCCAGCACUUUGUGUUGGCUGUUUUCCUGUCUAAAAAACAGGAGGAGUAAGGGGCGGGUAAGACGGGUGCCAGCCGCCGCGGUAAUACCCGCGCCCCUAGUGGUGGUCGAUAUUAUUGAGCCUAAAACGUCCGUAGCCGGUCUUUUAAAUCCUUGGGUAAAUUGGGCAGCUUAACUGUCCGAAUUCCGAGGAGACUGGAAGACUUGGGACCGGGAGAGGUCAGAGGUACUUCUAGGGUAGGGGUAAAAUCCUGUAAUCCUGGAAGGACCACCGGUGGCGAAGGCGUCUGACUAGAACGGAUCCGACGGUGAGGGACGAAGCCCUGGGGCGCAAACGGGAUUAGAUACCCCGGUAGUCCAGGGUGUAAACGCUGCGGGCUUGGUGUUGGGGGUCCUUCGUGGGCGCUCAGUGCCGGAGAGAAGUUGUUAAGCCUGCUGCUUGGGGAGUAUGUCCGCAAGGAUGAAACUUAAAGGAAUUGGCGGGGGAGCAC
Molecule: ribosomal RNA, 552 nt
Filed under: uncultured Methanosarcinaceae archaeon
Lineage: Archaea; Methanobacteriati; Methanobacteriota; Methanomicrobia; Methanosarcinales; Methanosarcinaceae
Description: bacterial SSU rRNA
Rfam family: Archaeal small subunit ribosomal RNA
Source: RNAcentral